This 395-nucleotide unclassified non-coding RNA is filed under the name soil metagenome. RNAcentral describes it as "partial contains 5.8S ribosomal RNA, internal transcribed spacer 2, and large subunit ribosomal RNA". The stretch from base 1 to 122 matches the Rfam family "5.8S ribosomal RNA", at positions 35 to 154 of the family's 154-position model. The record is from RNAcentral.
GAUGAAGAACGCAGCGAAAUGCGAUACUUGGUGUGAAUUGCAGAAUCCCGUGAACCAUCGAGUCUUUGAACGCAAGUUGCGCCCGAAGCCAUCAGGUUGAGGGCACGUCUGCCUGGGCGUCACAUAUCGUUGCCCAAUGCCUAUUGCAGUGCAAUAGGAAUUUCUAGGGCGAAUGAUGGCUUCCCGUGAGCGUUGUUGCCUCGCGGUUGGUUGAAAAUCGAGUCCUUGGUAGGGUGUGCCAUGGUAGAUGGUGGUCGAGUUAGAACGAUACCGAUCAUGUGCAUGCUCCCCAAAAUAUGGCCUCUAUGACCCACACGCGUCUUUUGACGCUCAUGACGAGACCUCAGGUCAGGCGGGGCUACCCGCUGAGUUUAAGCAUAUCAAUAAGCGGAGGA